ACACAGGCUCUUUUCAGAGCCACUGAAUUCUGUCAAAGUUGAUACUU
Molecule: non-coding RNA, 47 nt
Organism: Colinus virginianus (northern bobwhite)
Lineage: Eukaryota; Metazoa; Chordata; Aves; Galliformes; Odontophoridae
Source: Rfam